This 435-nucleotide ribosomal RNA is filed under the name uncultured Clostridium sp. RNAcentral's name for it is "partial 16S ribosomal RNA". It matches the Rfam family "Bacterial small subunit ribosomal RNA", at positions 341 to 792 of the family's 1533-position model. The record is from RNAcentral. Lineage: Bacteria; Bacillati; Bacillota; Clostridia; Eubacteriales; Clostridiaceae.
ACGGAAGGCAGCAGUGGGGAAUAUUAGGCAAUGGGGGAAACCCUGACCUAGCAACGCCGCGUGAAGGAAGAAGGUCUUCGGAUUGUAAACUUCUUUGAUCAGGGACGAAUUUUGACGGUACCUGAAGGACAAGUCACGGCUAACUACGUGCCAGCAGCCGCGGUAAUACGUAGGUGACAAGCGUUAUCCGGAUUUACUGGGUGUAAAGGGCGUGUAGGCGGUUUAGCAAGUCAGAAGUGAAAUUCCCGGGCUUAACUUGGGCGCUGCUUCUGAAACUGCUUUACUUGAGUACUGGAGAGGAUAGUGGAAUUCCUAGUGUAGCGGUAAAAUGCGCAGAUAUUAGGAGGAACACCGGUGGCGAAGGCGGCUAUCUGGACAGUAACUGACGCUGAGGCGCGAAAGCACGGGGAGCAAACAGGAUUAGAUACCCUGGUA